AGACUACUCCCUCCGUCCCAAAAUAACUGACGUGGAUUUGUAUAAGAAUCUAUACAAAUCAACGUCAGUUAUUUUGGGACGGAGGGAGUAUUAU
Brachypodium distachyon (stiff brome) is the source of this 94-nucleotide non-coding RNA. The record is from Rfam. Lineage: Eukaryota; Viridiplantae; Streptophyta; Magnoliopsida; Poales; Poaceae.